Pocillopora verrucosa is the source of this 698-nucleotide long non-coding RNA. RefSeq lists it as uncharacterized. NCBI's taxonomy places the organism in Eukaryota, Metazoa, Cnidaria, Anthozoa, Scleractinia, Pocilloporidae. The record is from RefSeq and is a predicted model, not a curated record.
UAAGCACUCAUACGUUUCGGGUCGAGCAUUGACAAGUUUCAACAAAGUCAAAAAAAGAUCUCAGCUUGGAACUUCAACGACUUUAACGGUUACAGUGGUGAAGACUUACUAAGAUCAGGCCUGAAAUCAAAAUGAAAAACGCUAAACAAACCAAAAGAUUCUCCUUUUCAACCAUGUUUCUUUUUUUGAUAAUUGUUGCGGCAGUCACUGCUAAAGCGACACAAAAAGACAGUUUUCAUCAAAUUGAUGCCGCCAUUGACGAGUACGCGGCCACGAAGAAACAGGCGCGCGGAUGGAGAGUUUGCCACAGCGGGAAAUGUUCUAAUAGCCGCGGCCGUAAAAGAGGAAUGAAAAGGGCUCGACCACAUUUCAAAGAGGAGCUGCAAGAUUUCCAAAUCACCAGCAAAGAGGAUAUCGACAUACCACCAGCAGAAGCAAGGACGUUAAAACAUUGGAAAGACGACUUCCAAUCGUAAUUUAAAGAAACCUCUAAAACAGAUUGCCGUUUCACUAUCUACUAUAUUUGUUUACUGGAUGUCAAGUCUAAGUCUUCAUAUUGUUUAACAACAUUUUGGAAAAUAUCAAGUAUCGAUGGUCUUCAGAACUAACAACUAAUGAAAGAAAGCAAAGUAUUAAAAAACUAAAAGAUCUUCAAAUUAACUUAUGGUAGUAAAAUUCAUGUGAACACAAUAAAAGUU